Long non-coding RNA from Oncorhynchus tshawytscha (Chinook salmon), 352 nucleotides. The record is from Ensembl. Lineage: Eukaryota; Metazoa; Chordata; Actinopteri; Salmoniformes; Salmonidae.
UGGCUGACUGACUGACUGACUGACUGGGUGACUGGAUGACAGAGUUUAGGUAUGGACUGACUGACUGACUGACUGACUGGGUGACUGGAUGACAGAGUUUAGGUCUGGACUGACUGACUGGGUGACUGACUGGAUGGAUGGAUGGCAGAGUUUAGGUCUGGACUGACUGGAUGGGUGACUGGAUGGCAGAGUUUAGGUCUGGACUGACUGACUGACUGACUGACUGACUGACUGGGUGACUGGAUGACAGAGUUUAGGUCUGGACUGACUGACUGACUGACUGGGUGACUGGAUGACAGAGUUUAGGUCUGGACUGACUGACUGAGUGACUGACUGGAUGGAUGGAUGGCAG